Molecule: ribosomal RNA, 250 nt
Filed under: uncultured bacterium
Lineage: Bacteria
Description: partial 16S ribosomal RNA
Rfam family: Bacterial small subunit ribosomal RNA
Source: RNAcentral
ACGUAGGUGGCAAGCGUUAUCCGGAAUUAUUGGGCGUAAAGAGGGAGCAGGCGGCAGCAAAGGUCUGUGGUGAAAGACUGAAGCUUAACUUCAGUAAGCCAUAGAAACCGGGCAGCUAGAGUGCAGGAGAGGAUCGUGGAAUUCCAUGUGUAGCGGUGAAAUGCGUAGAUAUAUGGAGGAACACCAGUGGCGAAGGCGACGAUCUGGCCUGCAACUGACGCUCAGUCCCGAAAGCGUGGGGAGCAAAUAG